This 85-nucleotide transfer RNA is filed under the name Candidatus Pacearchaeota archaeon. RNAcentral's name for it is "tRNA-Leu". It matches the Rfam family "tRNA". Rfam says of the family: Transfer RNA (tRNA) molecules are approximately 80 nucleotides in length. Their secondary structure includes four short double-helical elements and three loops (D, anti-codon, and T loops). Further hydrogen bonds mediate the characteristic L-shaped molecular structure. tRNAs have two regions of fundamental functional importance: the anti-codon, which is responsible for specific mRNA codon recognition, and the 3' end, to which the tRNAs corresponding amino acid is attached (by aminoacyl-tRNA synthetases). tRNAs cope with the degeneracy of the genetic code in two manners: having more than one tRNA (with a specific anti-codon) for a particular amino acid; and 'wobble' base-pairing, i.e. permitting non-standard base-pairing at the 3rd anti-codon position. Lineage: Archaea; Nanobdellati. The record is from RNAcentral.
GCGGGGAUGCCAGAGUGGUCAAAUGGGCUGCGAUGAGGUCGCAGUGUGCUUAGUGCCUACGUAGGUUCGAAUCCUGCUCCCCGCA